Folsomia candida is the source of this 1964-nucleotide long non-coding RNA. RefSeq lists it as uncharacterized. The record is from RefSeq and is a predicted model, not a curated record. The transcript has 7 exons. Lineage: Eukaryota; Metazoa; Arthropoda; Collembola; Entomobryomorpha; Isotomidae.
UUGUAAACAACUUUCACUUCUCAUAUUUUGUUUGACGUAAAAAUUUGCUUUCUUGACACCUUAUUAAUAAUUAAAUUAAUCAAAAGUAACAUUGAUUGACUUAUUAUUAAUUGAUUCCUGAGAAGAUACCUGAUUUCGCGAGGUGAAGUGACCAGAAAAAAUUAACGAGAAGGUAAACGUUAAAGUUGAAGCCUGAUGUCUCCGAAAAACACUGAACAGAAAGAUUGGAAAACAUUUUGAUAUUGACUAUAACUUCAAAAUGCGAAUACGAAAGAAGCACAUGUCAAUGAAAAUACGCUUAUUUCCAAAAAUAUGUCGGGGGGAUGAUGGCUCGAGUGACUCACAUCGAGCCCCAAUCACGGAGGAAAAUAGGUCAGCCGAUGUCACACCUGCCCAUAAAGAGAAGGCCCAUCUUGCUAAUUUACCUCGGCUGGGAAUAAUUGUCCGUCUACCUCCAUAGGCUAAAAUAUAAGGGCCUGAACCAAUGGGUCGACAUCGUGACGACGAUAUAUGCUGAGGCCCUCCCCAUCAUCUCACGAAAUCGUCCAUAUCUCGGUCCUACGAGUUCCUAACGAUGAAAAUCGACUAGAUACUAUUCAUGAUCAUGACCCUUUAAAGGAUUUUGGAAGUAUUAUGUGAGCGAAAACCCGGAAGAAGCAGUAAUGAGGCUUAAGAAACGUUCUCGGUCGCCACAUGCAGGUCACACCCUUUCAAUUCGCCGAGCUUCAUCUCCAUUCAUUCCGAAAUGGUCGCUAUCUCCUCUUCGUAAAACACCAUGUCUCCAUCUCCUAAACAGUCAAAGAUUUACCCUUUCCACCACAAGUACAUUACGUCGGGGGACAGGGUCGUUAGAUGUGGACAACACAUUUGAAGUUUGACUCCGCCAUUUGAUUCGACCGUAAAAUCGCCUGGUUAGUGCGGAUGGAACUGGUAGCAAUAAAGCGAAGAAAUAAUGGCGAGAUCUUGACCCAAUUUUGCGAAGACGAAUUUGCUUAUAGCUCGUCGAAACCGUUGGUACAAAUUCUAGAAAUUGGACCUGCUUGCCAAUGUGAUAGAUGCCAACGCGACGGAUGUGUGACACCUUACUCUGAUAUUGGGUCGAGAUAUACUAUGAUAGAGGAUAAGCACGAGACCAAAGCUCCUAUCGGUGCGUGGAGAAAACGUCAUAUUUGAUAAACGGUCGCCCAUCACAGUUCAAUCAAUCAGUAUGAAGCUGGAAAUAGAAAGUCCGAAAAAUUUACGGUAGCAGAUAUUUGAACUUUACCACCGGAAAUGGAUCGGUCAGAUGACAGAGUGGACUCAAGUCACUUGACUCAAGUGGUGACAGGAUUUAGAAGUGACGGGAAAAUGAGGCAGAAUACAGGGACAGAAGUUUACGACGAUCACGAGGCUGCCAGAGCGAGAACGACGUGACCGGCUUGACCGACGUCCUCUUAGUAGUCGGUUAAAUGACCUCGGGCAGCAUCAUGCUCCCUCAACCUCUUCUCUGACAUGUCUCCCGCAACAGUUUAGUUUACCUGGGAGGAGUCCGGAUCGAAGUGGUGAUUCUUACACUCGAAUGAUGAUACCCUUGUCCGUUGAUCGCUGGGUGACAAUCUGACGAAGAUUGAGCCGUCAAGACGAAAAAGAAGACAAAGAAACGCAAGUCAGAUUCCUGUCGUUAAUAUUCGUCACACUCUUCAGACGAGACACACACAAAAGCCAAGAAACGGAAGAAAUAGCAAUGUUAAUGUUGUACAAGUUUUGUUUACAAAACCCUGGUGAAAUGCGUCAACGAUUUUAUUCCCAAAUUUUUCGAUUCUCAUUACGUAAUGAUACCGAUCAAUUACUACUCUAAUAUAUUUUUUGACGACAAGGAAUAUAAAAAUACUUAUACCGAUCGCGUGGAAUAAUCUAUUACUUAUCAUACUCUUUAUUUCCCUUGCCAGACAAACAAAUGGAUAAAUAAAAUGUAUUACAAUAUU